This 500-nucleotide ribosomal RNA is filed under the name uncultured bacterium. Its description in RNAcentral is "bacterial SSU rRNA". It matches the Rfam family "Bacterial small subunit ribosomal RNA", at positions 28 to 542 of the family's 1533-position model. The record is from RNAcentral.
GACGAACGCUGGCGGCGUGCUUAACACAUGCAAGUCGAACGAGAUCCAUGGAGCUUGCUCCGGAAGAUCUAGUGGCGAACGGGUGCGUAACACGUGAGAAACCUGCCCUGGACUUGGGAAUAACAGUCGGAAACGACUGCUAAUACCGAAUACCUUCACACCAUCGCAUGGUGAAGUGAAGAAAGCUUUUGCGGUUCAGGAGGGUCUCGCGGCCUAUCAGCUUGUUGGUGAGGUAACGGCUCACCAAGGCAUCGACGGGUAGCUGGUCUGAGAGGAUGAUCAGCCACACUGGGACUGAGACACGGCCCAGACUCCUACGGGAGGCAGCAGUGGGGAAUAUUGCACAAUGGGCGAAAGCCUGAUGCAGCAACGCCGCGUGCGGGAAGAAGGCCCUAGGGUUGUAAACCGCUUUCAGCAGGGAAGAAAAUGACGGUACCUGCAGAAGAAGGUGCGGCCAACUACGUGCCAGCAGCCGCGGUGACACGUAGGCACCAAGCGUU